GGUUCAGGUCGGCAGCCUCUGGAGGAAGUGGUGUCAGCCCGCCCCUUCCCACGCAGCGCGCAGACGUGGAGCGCUCGGCGCGCGGCUCCGCAUCGAGGUGCGAGGAGGGCGCCUGGCUGGAGACACACCCACGGAUGUGGAUAAAGACGCCUGAAGCUCGGGGGCUGCUUUUUUCGACUCCACGGCUACCCUGCCCAGCCCUUCUGGGUCUCUUGACUCUGCACAAGCGAAGGCUGCCUCAGUCCCCAGCCUGUGGUCCUUGGGGAUGACUCAGAGAAUGGCUUUCUACAGGAAGAUGCUGCUGCCACGUCCUCUCUGCAUUCAGGAUGAUCUUCUCUAGAUUCACUUUCAUAAGAAGGACCAUCCUUGGGAGUCUCUAGAAAAGAGAGGCCAGUGAGCACUUACUGAGCUACAAAGAGCAUUCAGUUGACUGUACAAAAUAAAACUGUUAAAGGCACGGGGGAGGGAGAAAAUGCAAGCUCAUGGAAUCCAGGAUAUGUGACCAAACUUCCGACGAUGCUGGAAUUUUUCCAUGGAUUUUAAAGAGCAGCACUGGGUCCAUUCAUCUUAAGACUCUCGUACCCAGAGCUCAGCCAACUGGGACCUCAACAGCGCUUCCUAUUUGCUAGUAUUUGAAGGAGCACAAGAAUGAGAUAUUUGGAUUCGUCACUGGACACCAUCUGAACAACAGCUUUUGACUUCCUUAGAAACCACUAACGUGACCUAAAAAGGGAGUCUUCGGGGUCAGAAUGGAUAGAUUCCACAGGUCGCCUCACCAUCAGAGCACCAGCCUCUGAGAGGCACUUUGGGGCUGCAGUCCAGGGGCUGAAUGGCAGCCCUCAUGGCCAUGCAGCAAUGGCUGGACCUGCCAGGCCACUCGAGGGGGACCCAGCUGGGCUGGCAUGACUGGUGCUUCCUGAUACAGCCAGGAGCAAGUGGCUGAAGGUCCUGGAAGCUCCUUGCACAGGCAGGCUGCAGUCUCUGGUUCCUUGUGUGCAGCAGUGCAGAGGUAACUGUGGGCCUCCCCUGCCUCCCCCCGGGCACGCAGCCAAGAGAAGGCCCAGGAGAAAGGCCGAGAGAGACGCAGCUCUGCCAGCUCUAGACCGGACCUGUUGUGAACGGCUGCUUCUACCUCUAGAGACUGGAGAGAAGGGCAGGAUCAUCAUACAUGGGGCUCGCUCAGAGCUCGCAGCUGUCUCCCCUCUGCCCACAGGCCCCAGGCUGACUCGGCCAACCAAGCAGGCCCCAGAGAAUUGGUCUGCAGGGCUGGGCCUGCUGUGCGGGCCCCGAAGCUGCUCACCUUUAGGCUGUAGCCAGCAAGACCGCCAUAUAUGUAUGCUAAUCCCCUGCUAAGCCACCAGCUGAUGUCACAGGACAAGAGAAGAUUUCAGCAGUUCCAAUGACUGACAAAUACACACCACUCUCGUAGUACUCCCAAGACAAACUAGCCACCCCUCCCAGCCACCCUCGGAGACAGGGAAACACACUUUACAUGUUCUCCAUGUCUCUGCAGAAACUGUGUCCUCCACAGGACACUAACCUUCUCCUUCAUGCUAAUAAAUCCAAACUCUAAGGCACUACAGGGCACGGUCAGGUCACAGUUUUCUUAGGAAUGGAAGGUAAAAAAAACCCCACCACAUUCCAUCUGCAGAAGCUUCAAAAUAAAUCUUUCAUCAUGGUGUGGAUUUUAGUACUAAUCUUAUCCACAGUGUCAUCUGAUUUUCUCACCCUUCCCUCCUCCCCUUUAUCACAAUCUCCUUUCAUUAAAAUAUCAAUCCUGCUGCCCAAGGUGUGUUUUGUUAAGGACGUGACAUCCUUUGGAGGAACAAAGCUGAGCAAUAAAUUUCUUCCCAAUCAUGACCUAAGGACCUAUCAUCACUCCAGAUCACCAGAGGAAGACUUGUUGAAUGUCUGUUAACCUACCAGGCGGCAAGUUCCAUGAGAGAAGAAAUGAACAAACAGGUUACUGUCCAAUCGUCCGAGAGUACAGGGCUCUUAGUGUGGCAGAGACACAAAGGGUCCUGUACACUUUCUGUCACACACCAAUCUCUUCUCAGGAACUGCAGGGAUGACUUUCUGGUCCCUCGGGGCAGCCCGUGCACUGGCAGAGCUGACUUCUUAUCUGAGUUGCACACAAUGUCAGUGACGAAAGGUCAGUGACAAUGGGCUACACUGUCAAAUCUAUUUCCCAAAUGAGACCUGACCUAAAGAGUCCGUCCCUAAGGUUUUCAGAGUCUAAGUAAGGUUACAGAUUUUUAUCUCAAGUCUUAAAGUGCAGAUUUAUGUCCAUGCUGUCUCUGAGUAUCUUACAGACACAUAUUUACAUGAAAAUCACAAAAGAGAAGGCAGCAACUACAGCAGUCCUUCCAAUAUAUGAACUUAUCACAUCUGAUCAAUGGUAUUAAACCUCUGCAGGGAACCAACGCCAGAAACCUGGACGUUAAUGAGGAGGCGCUGGUCCUUCUCAGGCCCUUGGGCCCCAUGCUUCACUUACCUGCACGCAGCAUUUCAGCUUUCCUGAUUCUGAGUGCGAUCUGACAAUGGGCUUUAGGUGGGCACUGUGGAGCAGACCACACACGCACCCUCUUUUAGGAGAUCCCGUCGCUACCCUCCCAGAUAAAAGACAACCCUGAAGUGGUGCUGUGCUUCCCAGGUCCGUGAUGGACAUUCCUGUCUGCGCCCCACUCCACGACCGCGUCACCCUGUGGGCACUCACCAGGGUGACAAUGGCACAUUCCGCAGUCAGCUGAGCAGCACUGAACAGUGUCCGAACAAACCGGUAAAUCUGCUUCUGCUCUGGGUUGUGUUUGUCAUAAUCUGGUGGCACUUCGCAUUUCUGGGAAAGGAGAGAUUCUCAAUGACUGGCCGCCCAACAAGAAUAACAGAGACACGACUGGACAACACCCUGAGACCCCGGGGGAGGGUUACCGAAAGAGGGUGAAGGUUCUCAUCGAAAAUAUCCAAGAGCAUCCUUCCAUCUGGGUCCCUGGUUGGGGGAGCGGGCCGGGGGGAGAAAUAACAGAAAACGGAGUUUACCUUCUGCAAGUAUGAGUGCCAGUCAAAAGGAAACAAAAAUAUAUUUUGAUUCAGCUGUUAUUUCAAGAAACAGAGGCAGUGCUGUUAAGAGAUGCUACUGAUUAUUCAUGAAUUAUAAUUUGUUUUUCUUGGGGACAAUACUUAAUCAUUUUUGAAUAGUCCAAGAAAUAAAGGUUAUGAAUCACAUUUAGUUUAAUUAACUUAAGUGAAAAUGUAGAUUUUCAUUUCCUGAGUUUUCAAAUGAACCAAAUCUAAAUUUCUUUAACCUCUUGUUUCUGAGCAAAGGCUGACAGAUCUGUUUAAACCAUCCUUACGUUGUGGUUGACAAGAAAGAAUUCUGAGGGUAACAAUGAACACUCAUAGUGUGUCCUGGAGAUUAGUUUGAAAGUUUCACAGCAUGCAACUUAACCACUUCGCUAAUGAGGAGUUUCAUGACUGUAUAUUGAAAAACAAAAGGGGACACGUAGAAAAGUGUAACUGGUUGUUACCAAGCCGGUAACUGCACAGACCCAUUUAAAGUGGCAGCGUUCACUGUGAGCUCAGCGGGGCCGCUGGGCUCUGGGGGGUCGUCCACACUCCACUAGUGAUGGCUCUACCUCCAUCUGUUUUACGUCAUUUGAGUUUUGUCUAAAAUUUUUUCUUUAAAAACCAAAUUUGGAAACCACUGCUUUGGUUAACAGCACACAAUUUUCCAACGUCAACUAGCCUUGCAAGUAUCAGAAGGCUGCAGAUCUGUCCCUGACACGCACGCCCCGUGGCAAACACUACAGUUUCUGUUCUAUGAACUUACUGUCUGCGUCAAAAUAAAAGCGAAAGAAAGAGCUUGGCAGGACAGCUCAAUUUUCAUCCCUGUCUUUGCACAGUGGGAACUGUUUUUAAAGCUCUGGGCAUUCAUACCUGUGCUGCUUUUCACUAGCCUGCAGGACAGACAGCAAAGAUUUAGAUGAACCCGAAUAAAAGCACGGCUCAAGCAGUCAGGACUGGAGAGUGGGGUGAAAACGUAAAGUGCACCUGGCGCUGAGGAAUCACGAUCCCCCUCGACUGCCAACCGCCUCUGCCAGGUACUCAAGGAGGAAGGUGAGGGACGCCCCCAACUCCUCAGGCUCUUCAGCCCUGUUCAGUUCUCCUGAGGAGUGAGAGCCCCUGAAACACCAUUCAGCACUCUCGAGAAACUUUCACAAGUAAUUUUAAAAAUCAAAAUGUAGGUUCAGAAAUAUAAAUAAGGAUUCAGAAUUUAAGCUAAAAUGACUCCUCUAAGAAGUGGAUUUUGCUUUCACUUCCAUUAAAAGCUAUGAAUCUCAGCACAGUCUCUAUCAAAGCUAAGGGAUCUAUCACCAGCCCCUGAGGCUGGGUCAGUAUGACUUAUCAAAGGGAGAGUCUGCAGACACCUCUUCUCAAGACACUUUCAGGCUACAAUCUGUAAAUUAAUCAUGCUUGUUUCCACAGGCUGACUUUUCUGUUGGACUCUCUCCACUUCCUCUCGGCCCAAUGUAUCACCAUUAACCCAGCAGAGCAUAUCAUUUAAAGUCUCAGUGGUAUAUUGCUUGGGUUCAAUUCCCAAUUCCCCACUUUACUAGUUGUGUAAUCUCAGGCAAAUUAUUUAAAAAAAAAAUCUCUCUAUGCCUCAGUUUCUUUAUCUGUAAAAUGGAGAUAAUGUCAGAAUCACCUCAUGGAGCUGUUACAAAAAAAUUAAAUGAGAUAAGGCAUGCAAAGAGCUGACCAGGGUGGUCAGAGUAAGCAUUUAAUGGAGUGGGGUCUUAUUAUUAAUAGCUAUGGCUAUAGAUUAGCUUUGAGGCCCAUAGAGUCUAAGAACUGAGAAAUCGGAGACGCUAAUGCAAAACUGUUUUGAGAACACAUCUGAGUUUCACCAAUGGUAUUACAUUGCUAGUUAAGACCUAAGUGUUUAAAAAGUGUGAACUACUAUCAUAGAAAUAAGCAGCAAGAUGAAUCUACACUGUCACUAAGUUAUUCUGGUCAAGGUUCGAAGUUCCAGUAUCCUACAUUUUGUAAGUUCGUAAAUCCAAACUUCUCAAGCACCAUAAUGAACCGUGAAUCACAGUUACAUUACAGAGAAAGGUCAUUACAGAGAAUACCUUUCCAGGUAUUUGCUUCCAAUGGCUGUGUUUUCCCAUAACCUGUCCAUCACAAGCUCUGUCAUCUACCCUCCACGUCACUGCUUGUCACAACUCUCCCUUGUCCCCUUCCUAAAAUAGACUCCAGGGCUGUGGCCCCCACCACGGAGACCCACGCUAGCCAGAAGGUGACCUUGCUGGUUCCCGGAACUGUUACUACACUCAUAUAACACAUGUAAAUGUCACACCCGUCAGUGGAACAGGACUGCAGUGAGAGUGGCUUUGUUCUCAUGAAAACGAAGAAGGAUGCUUCAUAAAGACCCAAUAAAAGGAAAUCACUAAAAACAAGUUUGCUGUAGAUCAGGUGUGGUCAAAGCCUAAAAGGUUCUACACUCAUUGUUUAGCAAAUGUCACAAGUUUUCUCGCUAUUGAUUACAAAAACAAACAAAAAAACACACACAAAACAGGUGUGGCUUAUAAAAGGACAGCACUUCAGUAAUCAAUGCCCCACGCUCAAAGCAGAAGCCUCAGUGCUGCAUAAAACUGGCAAAUGAGUGUACUUUUACAUGUUUUAUGUUGAAUUAAAAUGCUUAAGGUAAAUGUUUAAAUGAUUCUUCUGUGAGUCCCUGUUUUAACUGACUUUUAAAAUUAACUGAACUAUCUCCAGACAUCUAUCAGAGAGAGAAUUUCUACUACAUUAAAAUAGUUUAUGACUAAAUUUACAACAAAACUUUUUCUACUGAAUUGAAACUGUAAACUAAACAUUUUUUCAUGUUAAAGCUGCACACAGAAAAUUGUUUAAAUAUUUUAUAACAGACAGAAUGUUUAAGCAAAUUAUACAGAAAAUAAAGUCAAGAGGAGGCUGAACAUUGUCAAGAAACUUUGUUCUGUUUUGCUGGCUUCAUUUGGUGUCCUCUGACUCAGAAGCAGUUCAGCAUUUACCUAGUAAGUGUGGGUAAAUUGUACUAACUUUAGAGAUUCUAUGAAAAUGAAAUAAGAAUAUAAAACUCAAAGGCUGAGGAACUAGAACGUAAUAGGAAAAACAUCACAGUAGAUGAUGUGUGAUGUUUUUAGCACAAAAUUAAUCAAAAUCCACCUACCUGUUUUUGAUGUGGUAAUAUAUUGCGAGAGCUACACUGUAAAAUAAAAUGCAGAAGUUCAGUGUUUCAUAAGCACAUUCAAGAUGUUAUAUAUUAUCUGGCAUCAGUCUGACCAUAAAUAUUUAAAAUUUAAGUAAAAAAUGACCCAUCUGAACAGCCCCAGUUAAUUCACAGUGCUGAUUAAGAAAAUGCAUUCUUCAAAGUAAAUCAAUCAGGCACUUAUUUUGAGCAAUUAUUAAAUCUUUUCCAGAAACACCAAAACUUCAAGUGAUAUUCAGAAACAAAUUUCUCUUUCUAUCUGAAAUCUUAAGCUUUCUUCACUUUAAAAUAUAGGCACUAUGUAAAAAAUAGGUGGUGAAAUCAAACACCUCUAGAAGUCUCCAACUUAGCACCUGCUGUUUUAGAAAAUUAGUGGUUUCUUUAUAACUACCAUCAAAAUGUGAAUAUUACCCACAGUGGUUUGCCAUUUUUUCUUUUAAAUCAAUAACCUCUUGGAAAUCUGCCUAAUUUAUUCAUUCAUUUGCUGAAUGGUAGUGUAACUCUUAUUUGUAAUACCUUAAAAUUUUAUUUUACAUUUUAAAAGAUCUGAAUUUAAUGAAGACAUUCCUAUCCCCUGAAUUUUCUUCAAAUAAUGUUUUUCUGAUUAUAAAAUGUGUUACAUUCAGAUUGAAGAAAUUUUUGGAAAAUAAAAAAAGUAUACAGAAAAAUAAUUCCUCUGCCCAAAGAUUAUUACUAUCAGCUUAAGAUAUAGAGGUAUUUAUUCGUAUCUACCUAAAGCAAACAGGUUUGCAUCCCACUUUUAUCCUCAUUAACAUUUUUCUUACCAUUAAAGUGUCAUUCAAAAACGUGACUUUAAAUGGCUGACUAUAUUCCAUUACAUUGUUGAAUAAUUUAUUAACCAUCCCCCUACUAUUGAACAUUUAAGUUAUUUUUAAUAUUUUUGCAAUUAUGAUUAACACCAUAAUGAAUAUACCCACAGAUAAAUAUUUGUGUGACCUAUCACUAUAUUAUUUCCAUAAGAAAACAUCCUGUACUUGGAAUUACUUGCUCUAAGGUCAUUAAUAACUGUAAGGCUCCCCACAUAUACAUCCCAGUAUCUUUGCAGAAAAGCUGUACCAGUGUACUUCCCCACCAGUGUGUGUCUCACCUCCCCUUCACCAACACUCACCUUGAAUGUUUUGAAAAAAUGUUCUCCAACUGGACAGGUUAAAAGUGUAACCGUUUUCAAUUUGAGUUUCUUUGAUCACCUGUCAAGUUGGCAGGGUUAUUCGUGUUGACUGCCCAAUUUUUUUUUAUUAUUUCCUCUUUUGCAACCUGUCUAGAUCCUUCCACAAUUUUUGUUUUACUUUAAAAUGUAUUGAGGAGGCCAAAAAUUUAUUUUUUAAGCUUCUAAGAACAUAGCUAACUGGCUGCAUCAGAUUGUGUUCUCAGAGCACAGAAACUGCCAUCCAGGGCACCAACAUGGAGGUAGAGGGCUGGGUCCCAAACACCUCAGCUCACUCGGCGGCGGCACUCACUCAGAGACCUGGGCAUGCACGCUGGACUCUGAGUAGCUCAGAUGUUCACCCACGACUUAACAUGACAAUAGCUCAUCUCUAUCAAAAGAAAGCAUCUCCUUCUAAAUCUCUCUUUCCAGAUCUAUUAAUUCAAACGAUUUCAGCUAAGUGUUAAAAGUAUCCCUGAGCAAAUGUAAUAUAUUCUCUUCCUCCUAACAUCUUGAAAAGCAUCUAUGCUGAUGAAGGAAAGUGGGGUGAAGGGACUUCAGACGUUUAAAAAAUAAUGGUACAGUUUUCAAAGUGCCUUCACGUACCUUAAAAGCCCUGCAAUGGGAAAUAAUAAAUGUUACUGAUUCUAUUUUAUAAAUAAGAAAAUUCAGGUAGAGACACUAGAUGUCGGGAUUUCCGACUUGUAUCAUGGUUUUAUGCCCUUUCAUUCUAUAAUGCUGCCUCUAGAAAAAAGGAAGAAAGUACUGUUUUAUUCAUUUAACAGUCCUGCUGUGAUGAUUAAAUUGAAUGUUUCAUAUGAUUCGGUUUGGUAUAGUGAUUACUUUAAUUGCUUUGAUUGAUUGAGAAAAAUAUGGUCCCUGCUUCCCCUGUGAGGGAGCACAUCACAGGAAAAUCACCACUGCACUGAAGUCAGACCAGCUGGGUUUAAAAACUGGCUCCUUCAUCAAUUAGAGUUUAUCCACCUCUCAGAGCCUUCAAUUCCUCAUCUAAAAAAUUACAAUUCAACCCACAUCACAGAGUGGUUAUUACAAUCAAAUGAAGUGUAUAAAAGCAUGAUCUCAAAUAUAAAGUUCUAAAGCAAAGUUAUUAUUAUUAUUGUUGUUGCCCUAUGAAUAAUUCCACCUCAAGAGGUCUUCCAGCUUCUGUAGAUGGAGUGAAGGUCUUCGGGGCCCCAAGGUUACUGUCUCCCAGAUCUCCAGAGCUGAAAGCAAGCUUGGACGUUAUCAUGACUCAGGCCUCCAUAAAACACAGUGCCAGUCUGUAGGCCAAUGUCCACUCAAGAUCAUGCCCCGGAAAGUGAGAAAACCAAUCUGAGGACGCACGUGUUGGGCCCAGCUCCACAGGCCAGCUCAGUCGGUCAUUGUGAAAGAAGUGACUGCCGGGGGGGGGCAAAGGACAGUCAGCUGAAAACAGAAUCAAUUCCAGGCUUCAGGCUUUACUCCAAAUGCCCAGCUUUGGAGGCCUGCUUAUUCUGCCAUGUCCUCAGAAAAUGGUGAGGUCACCCAGGACAGGCUGGCCAGAGGGUUAGCUCAACUGCCCUUGCUGCAGAGCCAGGAGGGAAGGGGAGCUGGGAGUGAAGAAAUGCUAUUUUCUUGAUCAGGAAAACAAAACAUGUUUCUGACCGCGGGCACUACCCUCGCUGUACUUCUCACCUAGAGCUAAGUCAGAGGUGCCGGGUUCUGGCAGGUGUACGAAGCUGCUCUCGACCCUCAGGCCCGGGGCCGCGGAUGGUGUGGGCAGCUGCGAGCGGCCCUCACUGCCCUCCCCCCAUCCUCUGAGCACCAUCCCCGUGCUCACACAGGAUUCGGGGCCUGGGUCGGUUACAGCGGCACAGGGGUGGGUGGCAAACUCUAAAUUCAUACCACAGCCAUUGGCCUUCAGGAGAAAGAUGGGAAAAUCAA
Molecule: non-coding RNA, 9335 nt
Organism: Delphinapterus leucas (beluga whale)
Lineage: Eukaryota; Metazoa; Chordata; Mammalia; Artiodactyla; Monodontidae
Source: RefSeq, a predicted model, not a curated record